Peromyscus eremicus (cactus mouse) is the source of this 1965-nucleotide long non-coding RNA. RefSeq lists it as uncharacterized. The transcript has 3 exons. The record is from RefSeq and is a predicted model, not a curated record. Lineage: Eukaryota; Metazoa; Chordata; Mammalia; Rodentia; Cricetidae.
CUGGAUCUGAGGGACGACAGAUCUGCACUGUGCGGUGUGUGGGGGUGAACGUGAGGGAUGAGGACCUCGUGGGUCAUAAAUGUGAGCCCACCCGUUCAAGGCAUCAGCUCAGGUGGGGCUAACUUGCAUCUGAACACUGCCUGGAGGAUGCUGGGUAAGUGUCUCAACCUCUGUGACUAUGAAAAGCGAGCCUGGUUCCCUGCGACAAGGGGUUCUGAGGAGCGCGCUGGUGAGGGGAAAGGGCCAGGCAGCUCAUCAGACUGGAGUCAAGGCUGCCUCGUGACUCUGCAGCAGCAAAAGCCACUACUGGACUCUAGAGCCAGUCAGGACUCUGACCAGGGCUGUGCAUAGACUGUCCAGGAGUACUUGUCCUGCCGUGACUGGCUGCAGCCCAGGCACAGCCACACAGGACCAGGUGUAGGGAGGAACAUAGGCUCCCUUGCCCUCUCAGGGGUCCCCACGCCAGCACCUCCACCUCAGCAACCCCAAACUCCAAGGCUCCAUCAUUUGAGAAUAUUUUUGGAUCUUCUUUAUGUAGCCAUCACCACUGGUGACAGAGUUCAUCUUCCAGCCCUCUCCAUCACCACGCAGUGUGAGGCAGGAAGCCCCACUCCUCUAGUCCUACCUAGGUCUUUCUGGUGACCAGGCCCUAUCCUAGAACUACUCCCAAGGGCCCCCAGGCUCCUGAUGACCUCAUCCACACGCAGAAGUUCCAAAUAUAAGCCAGAGGCCCAGCCGCAGAGCUGAAGUGACCGGCGCACACACUCCAAGACAAGAGAAACCGUCUGAUAACCAGAGUCACAGCUACCGCCUGUGACCAUGAGGACAUCAAGAAAUACGCAGGAGCAGGAAACAGAUCACAGUCCCUGAUGAGGAUAUAAGCUCUCAGCUACUCCUCCAGCACCAUGCCUGCUGCCAUGCUCCCUGUCAUUGUCGCUGGGUCCUAACAGCUCCCUCGGAGGAGGAGGUGAGAAGGCACAGAGUCAACUGGCACAGACACUGGGAGUCAGGUAAAAGGCAAAGAGCAGACUCAUUUAUUCGGCAAUGGGGAGAGCCUUAUAUACCCUCCCCCCAGCACCCAGGCUGCAUCCUGAUCUGGUGAUGUUGCAUGAUCAACCCUCACUGGCUGUGCACAAUCAGGACCUCUGACAGUGCCUGUUGCUAGGCCCUCAGGCAGACUCCAGGUUGGCUCAUCUCUCAGCCUCAUAGGCCUUAUCUUCCUAUAUAUCUAUAUAUCCACCCUUCAUUUAUUAUGUGGGCGCUCAGCAGGAACCAGAGUUCUUUUCUCAGGCCUUGUUGACCCUGCCUCAGGACAGCUCAGCAACUGGACUGUGCCUGUCUUAGGUUGGCUUGCCAAACAAGCUCUUACCCAUCAUUGACUACCAGCCCUCAAAGAGCAUCCCUUCCUGGAGAGCUGCCAGGGUUGGGGGACUAGGCAGUAGCCUUUUGAAUUUCAGAUAACCAGGCAUGCAUAACCUCCUGUGCAGGACUGUGAGAAGGAUGCCUAAGAGCCAUUAAUACUUGAAGAGUCACCUUAGUUGCUGCACACUGCUGUUGAAUAUGCUGCAGGAGACAUUUAAAGAGAAUAAGGAUUAACAAUACCACCCCACCAAUUAAGGCAUAUGUGAGCAUCCAAGAGGGAUCAAAUAGCCUUUUUAUGUCAAACCUUUUCAAAAAAUGAAGAGUCAAAGACCAUAACCUCUCCCCUUGUGUGACUUAAUUUUCAUGUGUUAGCUGUAAUGAAUAAUAUAGAAACUUAGUUGACCAUGGGCCCCUUAAUAUAUUUAGCCAGCUCCUGGCAUGCUAAACUAACAUUCCUCACCUCAAAAGGUGUCAUACAAAAUGAGGAAAAGUGAGGGUCACAAUUGAGUCUCACCAAUGUAUUUAAAGUGCCAGUUUCUUCUAAUAAAUCAAAUUGUUUAGAGGGGCAAUGAGAGCAAGAAAGGGGAGUACACACAUUACCCA